This 485-nucleotide long non-coding RNA is filed under the name Rattus norvegicus (Norway rat). Its description in RNAcentral is "long non-coding RNA NONRATT033609". Lineage: Eukaryota; Metazoa; Chordata; Mammalia; Rodentia; Muridae. The record is from RNAcentral.
GCCUAGGGAUCUGCAUGUUAGCAAGAUUCUCCAGGGCUGCUAAUGCUGGGAGUACUGAAGGCUGGUGGAUUCACACCUUGGGGGAAAGCAGAGAGUUUCCUUGGCAACAGAUGACUAAUUUAGAAGUCCCUGUGAACAGGUGGGAGACAGGAAAGGACAUGAGAAGCAACACAUCCGUAGGUGCCAAGUUUAAACAACAAGCUCCCGACAGACUCAGGGUAUUUUUUAUCACAGCGGCAUAAACGAAACUAGGACACUGACCUACACACUAAAGGCUGAGGAUCUCUACAAUGGGCUGUUCCUCAUUCCUAGCCAUGGGAGGGCCAUUUGGGAAUAAAGGCACUUCCUCUUACUCCAACAAAUUAUACUAUUGAUCUUUGAUUCCUUUUCUCAUCUCUAUUCAUCGGCCAUGGCUUAACUAGGUGUAGCUCAACUAUUCAAAUGUCCAGGGAUGAUGGAUGAAGGUGACAAGUACCAAUGUAGAC